AUUAGCAUAAAAAAAGUAUGAUGGAAAACCUUUGAAGGCAGUCUGGAUAGCAGCUCUCAGGAAGAUGGUCAAAUAAAUCUUCAACCAAGUCUGAGGCUUUACCAAGAAAUUAAGAAGGUUCUUCUGUGAUAUGUUUUCAUGGUGUGGGAAUAAGACUUGGUGGUCUAAUACAACUAAUACAAAGGUUAGCAUCACAGCUUGUCUGUAAGGAUUGAAGCUGGGAGUGGGCAUUGGAGCUGACUUUUAUGGUAACUGUGGCUGCAAAAAAGGGCUAUGAGAUUUUACUGUAACAGUAGAGAAUGUCAUUCAGACUAUUAUUGUGUAUGUUUGAGAAAAUGUUUAUAAUUUUUACCAUAUAAAGAAAAAUAAUAUGUACAGGUUCUCCAUUUUCAACAAGAUUGGAAGUAGUUGGUUAAUAGGUCUUUGCAAUUUAAAAAAAAUCUAUUUUUUGUUCAUACUCAUAUCUAGGCAAAACACUUCCAGUAGUUUAAGAAUGGAGAAUCUAAAAAAAAAAAAGAAAAAGAAAAAAAAUGUUCAAUUAUUGAAAGGUUUUUGUUCAGCCUUUGGCUUUAGUCGAAAAAGAGAGAGACAUAAGGAUCCUACAUUCUGUUAUUUGCUUGGUCUGACAGCCUCCACAUAUGAGGGGGAAUAGGAGGGGUCCUGAUCCUGAAAUCCAGGGCUUAAAAACACGAAAUCUUGAG
Long non-coding RNA from Mytilus trossulus (common blue mussel), 701 nucleotides. RefSeq lists it as uncharacterized. The record is from RefSeq and is a predicted model, not a curated record. Lineage: Eukaryota; Metazoa; Mollusca; Bivalvia; Mytilida; Mytilidae. The transcript is spliced from 4 exons.